GAUGAACGCUGGCGGCGUGCCUAAUACAUGCAAGUCGAGCGAACAGACGAGGCUCUUGCUCCUCUGACGUUAGCGGCGGACGGGUGAGUAACACGUGGAUACCCUACCUAUAAGAGUGGGAUAACUUCGGGAAACCGGAGCUAAUCCCGGAUAAUAUAUUGAACCGCAUGGUUCAAUAGUGAAAUACGGUUUUGCUGUCACUUAUAGAUGGAUCUGCGCCGCAUUAGCUAGUUGGUAAGGUAACGGCUUAUCAAGGCUACGAGGCGUAGCCGACCUGAGAGAGUGAUCGGCCACACGAGAACUGAAACACCGUCCAGACUCCUGCGAGAGGCAGCAGUAGGGUAUGGUACGCAGUGGGCGAAAGCUUGACGGAGCAACGCCGCGCGAGUGAUGAAGGUGUUCGGAUCGUAAAACUCUGUUAUGAGGGAAGAACAAAUGUGUAAGUAACUAUGCACGUCUUGACGGUACCUAAUAAGAAAGCCACGGCUAACUACGUG
Molecule: ribosomal RNA, 497 nt
Filed under: uncultured bacterium
Lineage: Bacteria
Description: partial 16S ribosomal RNA
Rfam family: Bacterial small subunit ribosomal RNA
Source: RNAcentral